This 77-nucleotide transfer RNA is filed under the name Candidatus Uabimicrobium amorphum. RNAcentral describes it as "Planctomycetes bacterium SRT547 tRNA-Arg". It matches the Rfam family "tRNA". From Rfam's summary of the family: Transfer RNA (tRNA) molecules are approximately 80 nucleotides in length. Their secondary structure includes four short double-helical elements and three loops (D, anti-codon, and T loops). Lineage: Bacteria; Pseudomonadati; Planctomycetota; Candidatus Uabimicrobiia; Candidatus Uabimicrobiales; Candidatus Uabimicrobiaceae. The record is from RNAcentral.
AGGGGAGUAGCUCAAUCGGAUAGAGCAACGGUUUUCUAAACCGUAGGUUGUGGGUUCGAGUCCCGCCUUCCCUGCCA